RNAcentral lists this ribosomal RNA (465 nucleotides) under uncultured bacterium. RNAcentral describes it as "bacterial SSU rRNA". It matches the Rfam family "Bacterial small subunit ribosomal RNA", at positions 337 to 802 of the family's 1533-position model. The record is from RNAcentral.
UCCUACGGGAGGCAGCAGUAGGGAAUCUUCCGCAAUGGGCGAAAGCCUGACGGAGCGAUGCCACGCGGAUGACGGAGGCCUUCGGGUCGUAAAAUCCUGUCAGGAGGGACGAUGGUCAAUUUUCGGAUUGAUUGACGGUACCUCCAGAGGAAGCUCCGGCCAACUACGUGCCAGCAGCCGCGGUAAUACGUAGGGAGCAAGCGUUGUUCGGAUUUACUGGGCGUAAAGAGUGCGUAGGUGGCUAUACAAGUCAAGGGUGAAAUCUCUACUUUCAAGGUAGAAACUGCCUUUGAUACUGUAUGGCUAGAGGACAAGAGGGGGAAAUGGAACUCUGGGAGUAGCGGUGAAAUGCGUAGAUAUCCAGAGGAACGCCAGUAGCGAAGGCGGUUUCCUGGCUUGUUUCUGACACUGAGGCACCAAAGCUAGGGGAGCGAUCGGGAUUAGAUACCCCGGUAGUCCAAGCCG